CCUGGCUCAGGACGAACGCUGGCGGCGCGCCUAACACAUGCAAGUCGAACGAGCGAGAGAGAGCUUGCUUUCUCAAGCGAGUGGCGAACGGGUGAGUAACGCGUGAGGAACCUGCCUCAAAGAGGGGGACAACAGUUGGAAACGACUGCUAAUACCGCAUAAGCCCACGGCUCGGCAUCGAGCAGAGGGAAAAGGAGCAAUCCGCUUUGAGAUGGCCUCGCGUCCGAUUAGCUAGUUGGUGAGGUAACGGCCCACCAAGGCGACGAUCGGUAGCCGGACUGAGAGGUUGAACGGCCACAUUGGGACUGAGACACGGCCCAGACUCCUACGGGAGGCAGCAGUGGGGAAUAUUGCACAAUGGGGGAAACCCUGAUGCAGCGACGCCGCGUGGAGGAAGAAGGUCUUCGGAUUGUAAACUCCUGUUGUUGAGGAAGAUAAUGACGGUACUCAACAAGGAAGUGACGGCUAACUACGUGCCAGCAGCCGCGGUAAAACGUAGGUCACAAGCGUUGUCCGGAAUUACUGGGUGUAAAGGGAGCGCAGGCGGGAAGACAAGUUGGAAGUGAAAUCCAUGGGCUCAACCCAUGAACUGCUUUCAAAACUGUUUUUCUUGAGUAGUGCAGAGGUAGGCAGAAUUCCCGGUGUAGCGGUGGAAUGCGUAGAUAUCGGGAGGAACACCAGUGGCGAAGGCGGCCUACUGGGCACCAACUGACGCUGAGGCUCGAAAGUGUGGGUAGCAAACAGGAUUAGAUACCCUGGUAGUCCACACUGUAAACGAUGAUUACUAGGUGUUGGAGGAUUGACCCCUUCAGUGCCGCAGUUAACACAAUAAGUAAUCCACCUGGGGAGUACGACCGCAAGGUUGAAACUCAAAGGAAUUGACGGGGGCCCGCACAAGCAGUGGAGUAUGUGGUUUAAUUCGACGCAACGCGAAGAACCUUACCAAGUCUUGACAUCCCUUGACGAUGCUGGAAACAGUAUUUCUCUUCGGAGCAAGGAGACAGGUGGUGCAUGGUUGUCGUCAGCUCGUGUCGUGAGAUGUUGGGUUAAGUCCCGCAACGAGCGCAACCCUUAUGGUCAGUUACUACGCAAGAGGACUCUGGCCAGACUGCCGUUGACAAAACGGAGGAAGGUGGGGAUGACGUCAAAUCAUCAUGCCCUUUAUGACUUGGGCUACACACGUACUACAAUGGCGUUAAACAAAGAGAAGCAAGACCGCGAGGUGGAGCAAAACUCAGAAACAACGUCCCAGUUCGGACUGCAGGCUGCAACUCGCCUGCACGAAGUCGGAAUUGCUAGUAAUCGCAGAUCAGCAUGCUGCGGUGAAUACGUUCCCGGGCCUUGUACACACCGCCC
RNAcentral lists this ribosomal RNA (1356 nucleotides) under uncultured bacterium. RNAcentral describes it as "bacterial SSU rRNA". It matches the Rfam family "Bacterial small subunit ribosomal RNA", at positions 18 to 1395 of the family's 1533-position model. The record is from RNAcentral.